GGGCACUCCUGGCACCAUCCUAGAGGAGCCUGCGCCCUGGAGAGGUGGCUUCCUGACCCCCGAGCCCAGGCGACCACCGGAGGCGGGCACCGCGCCUCUGCUCCUGCCUCAGGCUCGCGCCAACCUUGUUCUCUUUGCGUGCCCCCCAACUAAAAAAGAAAAAAAUUUUGAUUGUCUGCCCUUUUUUAUACAAACAUGGAAACUAGACUAACAGCACUACUACUAACAUUUGCAAAUAAGUUGAAUACUAAAAGGCUCCAAAUUUAAAUUAUAGAUGAGGAAAUGCAUGAAAGUCUGAUGGAGUGUUAGAAUUCAAUGGUAAAGUACUUGCAUCGCUGAAUACAUGAUAGCCCCAAGAACUCCGUCCGAAUGUUGCCUUCCGAAGCUUGAAACUUAAAGCUGAUUUGUAAGGCAUGUUGCUUGACCCUCUUGGUCGUUUUCGUUCCUCUUGUUUAUGGGUUCGAGCUCUUUAUGCCUUCCCCUUAUCCCAAGGACCAGCUGAUGAAUUCGUAUGAAUGUUUCUUAGGAGCUCGUUCUAAACAUUCAAGUUACUUUAAGAACAUUAAUGUCUAGAGGUAAAACUAAGACAUGAACGCAAUGUUUUCUUUUAAAAGCAUUGUGUGUCCUAGUUCCCUUGGAAGUCAACAUUUCAUUGUUUCACUAGGUGACUCGCUGCUAAUAACCUUUGGUUGUGUACUGUAUUAAUUUUAGGUCAUUUAUGCAAACAUAAUAGCUAUCCUUUUUCAUCGUAAGUGAUUUAUAACUGGAAGUUUGUAAACUAAUAAUGUUUUGCUUCCAAAAUGCAAACUUGCAUCUUAAAAUGAGUUGUAAAGUCUGCUCAAUAAAUUUUAGUUGCCUUAUCUGUACUCAGGACAAGAGUAUACUACUAUAGUCAAGAGUCUAAAAACAAUUUAAGUAAUUUUAUACAACCUUUUAAAGUACACCGUAGGCAAGCAGAUUCUGAUUUCCAACUUUUAUAGUUUUCCUUGUUCAUCCGUGUCAUAUUUCCGAUUAUUGACACAAAAGCACACUCCAAGUUACUUCUUGUUUGUGCCUUACUAUUUUUAUUCAGGGUUUUCAAGUCACUGACAUAGAAGCACAUAGAAGCAUAAAUUCACACACUCUGACCUAUAUGUUUCUAGUGGUGAGAUUUUUUUUUAAACAAAUGCCAUAUCUAGUGAGUCUAUUCUUUGUUAAUGUUCAUGGUUUUGACGCCUUAGUUCACCUCUAACCAUCUCUGCUCUGUCAGCAUUCUGUCUGUCCUUGCUUGAUGCUUUCUCAUUCUGCAUGCCGCUGGCUAGAUGUCUCUAGGAUUUACGAAACAGGAAGCCAGAGGUAACCUUUCUCACUUCUUGAAUCUGAUAACCCUCUGGGUAGAUUACAGCAGUUUGUCUGAAAAAUAAUAAUGGCACUAUUGUCUUGAACUACUUCAAAGAGAUCAUUUGGAGCCGGUGUAGAACCCCAAAAAAGGUAAAAGUUUGGCUGCUUCUCAUGUGUUUAAACCUGAUUCUGUCUUGGGGAUAAGGUCUUUCUCCUGGUGGAUUUUUACUUCUGUUUAUUUACUUAUUAAAUG
Molecule: long non-coding RNA, 1573 nt
Filed under: Mus musculus (house mouse)
Lineage: Eukaryota; Metazoa; Chordata; Mammalia; Rodentia; Muridae
Description: long non-coding RNA chr17:79615520-79617093
Source: RNAcentral